UUCUUUUGAAAGGUAAAAAAAUGAACAAGGUCUCCGUUGGUGAACCAGCGGAGGGAUCAUUACCGAGUUUACAACUCCCAAACCCAAUGUGAACGUUACCAAACUGUUGCCUCGGCGGGAUCUCUGCCCCGGGUGCGUCGCAGCCCCGGACCAAGGCGCCCGCCGGAGGACCAACCAAAACUCUUAUUGUAUACCCCCUCGCGGGUUUUUUUAUAAUCUGAGCCUUCUCGGCGCCUCUCGUAGGCGUUUCGAAAAUGAAUCAAAACUUUCAACAACGGAUCUCUUGGUUCUGGCAUCGAUGAAGAACGCAGCGAAAUGCGAUAAGUAAUGUGAAUUGCAGAAUUCAGUGAAUCAUCGAAUCUUUGAACGCACAUUGCGCCCGCCAGUAUUCUGGCGGGCAUGCCUGUCCGAGCGUCAUUUCAACCCUCGAACCCCUCCGGGGGGUCGGCGUUGGGGAUCGGCCCUGCCUUGGCGGUGGCCGUCUCCGAAAUACAGUGGCGGUCUCGCCGCAGCCUCUCCUGCGCAGUAGUUUGCACACUCGCAUCGGGAGCGCGGCGCGUCCACAGCCGUUAAACACCCAACUUCUGAAAUGUGACCUCGGAUCAGCAGGAGUCCACGCCCCC
RNAcentral lists this ribosomal RNA (623 nucleotides) under Trichoderma harzianum. Its description in RNAcentral is "eukaryotic LSU rRNA". The stretch from base 264 to 417 matches the Rfam family "5.8S ribosomal RNA". Lineage: Eukaryota; Fungi; Ascomycota; Sordariomycetes; Hypocreales; Hypocreaceae. The record is from RNAcentral.